AACGAACGCUGGCGGCAGGCCUAACACAUGCAAGUCGAGCGCGCACUCCGGGGUGAGCGGCGGACGGGUGGGUAACGCCUGGGAACGUGCCCUUUUCUACGCAAUAGCCUCGGGAAACAGAGAGUAAUACCGUAGAGGCCCUUAGGGGGAAAGAGCUAUCGGAAAAGGGUCGGCGCUCGUUGGAUUCGGUGGUUGGUGGGGUAAUGGCCUGCCAACCGGACGAUGCAUAGCUGGUGGGUGAGGAUGAUCCACCACACUGGGACUGAGACACGGACCAGAAUCCUACGGAACGCAGCAGUAGGGAGUCUUAGACAAUGGGGGCUACUGUGAUCUAGCCAUGUCGGGUGAGUGAUGAAGGCGUUAGGGUUGUAAAGCCCUUUCAGAUGGGAAGAUAAUGACGGUACCAGCAGAAGAAGCCCCGGCUAACUCCGUG
RNAcentral lists this ribosomal RNA (433 nucleotides) under uncultured bacterium. RNAcentral describes it as "partial 16S ribosomal RNA". It matches the Rfam family "Bacterial small subunit ribosomal RNA", at positions 29 to 507 of the family's 1533-position model. The record is from RNAcentral.